ACGCUAGCUACAGGCUUAACACAUGCAAGUCGAGGGGAAACGGCAUUGAGUGCUUGCACUCUUUGGACGUCGACCGGCGCACGGGUGAGUAACGCGUAUCCAACCUUCCCAUUACUGUGGGAUAACCUGCCGAAAGGCAGACUAAUACCGCAUAGUCUUCGAUGACGGCAUCAGAUUUGAAGUAAAGAUUUAUCGGUAAUGGAUGGGGAUGCGUCUGAUUAGCUUGUUGGCGGGGUAACGGCCCACCAAGGCAACGAUCAGUAGGGGUUCUGAGAGGAAGGUCCCCCACAUUGGAACUGAGACACGGUCCAAACUCCUACGGGAGGCAGCAGUGAGGAAUAUUGGUCAAUGGACGGAAGUCUGAACCAGCCAAGUAGCGUGCAGGAUGACGGCCCUAUGGGUUGUAAACUGCUUUUGUAUGGGGAUAAAGUUAGGGACGUGUCCCUAUUUGCAGGUACCAUACGAAUAAGGACCGGCUAAUUCCGUGCCAGCAGCCGCGGUAAUACGGAAGGUCCAGGCGCUAUCCGGAUUUAUUGGGUUUAAAGGGAGCGUAGGCUGGAGAUUAAGUGUGUUGUGAAAUGUAGACGCUCAACGUCUGAAUUGCAGCGCAUACUGGUUUCCUUGAGUACGCACAACGUUGGCGGAAUUCGUCGUGUAGCGGUGAAAUGCUUAGAUAUGACGAAGAACUCCGAUUGCGAAGGCAGCUGACGGGAGCGCAACUGACGCUUAAGCUCGAAGGUGCGGGUAUCAAACAGGAUUAGAUACCCUGGUAGUCCGCACAGUAAACGAUGGAUGCCCGCUGUUGGUACCUGGUAUCAGCGGCUAAGCGAAAGCAUUAAGCAUCCCACCUGGGGAGUACGCCGGCAACGGUGAAACUCAAAGGAAUUGACGGGGGCCCGCACAAGCGGAGGAACAUGUG
RNAcentral lists this ribosomal RNA (919 nucleotides) under uncultured bacterium. RNAcentral describes it as "bacterial SSU rRNA". It matches the Rfam family "Bacterial small subunit ribosomal RNA", at positions 33 to 943 of the family's 1533-position model. The record is from RNAcentral.